This 460-nucleotide ribosomal RNA is filed under the name uncultured bacterium. RNAcentral describes it as "partial 16S ribosomal RNA". It matches the Rfam family "Bacterial small subunit ribosomal RNA", at positions 338 to 795 of the family's 1533-position model. The record is from RNAcentral.
CCUACGGGUGGCAGCAGUGAGGAAUAUUGGUCAAUGGACGAGAGUCUGAACCAGCCAAGUAGCGUGAAGGAUGACUGCCCUAUGGGUUGUAAACUUCUUUUAUAUGGGAAUAAAACGUUCCACGUGUGGGAUUUUGUAUGUACCAUAUGAAUAAGGAUCGGCUAACUCCGUGCCAGCAGCCGCGGUAAUACGGAGGAUCCGAGCGUUAUCCGGAUUUAUUGGGUUUAAAGGGAGCGUAGGUGGAUUUGUAAGUCAGUUGUGAAAGUUUGCGGCUCAACCGUAAAAUUGCAGUUGAAACUGGCAGUCUUGAGUACAGUAGAGGUGGGCGGAAUUCGUGGUGUAGCGGUGAAAUGCUUAGAUAUCACGAAGAACUUCGAUUGCGAAGGCAGUUCACUGGACUGCAACUGACACUGAGGCUCGAAAGUGUGGGUAUCAAACAGGAUUAGAUACCCUAGUAGUC